This 156-nucleotide non-coding RNA is filed under the name Catenovulum agarivorans. RNAcentral describes it as "MoCo sequence". It matches the Rfam family "Molybdenum/Tungsten riboswitch aptamer (Moco RNA motif)". The record is from RNAcentral. Lineage: Bacteria; Pseudomonadati; Pseudomonadota; Gammaproteobacteria; Alteromonadales; Alteromonadaceae.
UAUCGUUUAAAACUCCGAAGCCUAAUGCGCUAAGUCUGAAGAUAUGCAAGUUAGGCCGUAAAAACCCGUUUGGACAAACCUGUGGGUUAUUUACCAGGGUUAGCUUAGAAAUAAUCUGGCCUCCCGUAUUUGGAAAGGUGUUUAUGUUACAAGACA